This 1202-nucleotide ribosomal RNA is filed under the name metagenome. Its description in RNAcentral is "bacterial SSU rRNA". It matches the Rfam family "Bacterial small subunit ribosomal RNA", at positions 307 to 1498 of the family's 1533-position model. The record is from RNAcentral.
GGCUCACUGGGACUGAGACACUGCCCAGACACCUACGGGUGGCUGCAGUCGAGAAUCUUCCGCAAUGGGCGCAAGCCUGACGGAGCGACGCCGCGUGCGGGAUGAAGGCCUUCGGGUUGUAAACCGCUGUCAGUGGGGAGGAAAUGCAUGAGGGUUCUCUCUCAUGUUUGACCGAUCCGCAGAGGAAGUGCAGGCUAAGUUCGUGCCAGCAGCCGCGGUAACACGAACUGCACAAACGUUAUUCGGAAUCACUGGGCUUAAAGAGUUCGUAGGCGGCCAGGUCAGUCGGGUGUGAAAUCCCUCGGCUCAACCGAGGAACUGCGCCCGAUACUGCUUGGCUUGAGGGAGUCAGAGGUGAGCGGAACUGAUGUGGAGCGGUGAAAUGCGUUGAUAUCAUCAGGAACACCGGUGGCGAAAGCGGCUCACUGGGGCUUUUCUGACGCUGAGGAACGAAAGCUAGGGGAGCGAACGGGAUUAGAUACCCCGGUAGUCCUAGCCGUAAACGAUGAGCACUGGGUCGAGGGGACCUCCACAUCCUCUCGGCCGUAGCGAAAGCGUUAAGUGCUCCGCCUGGGGAGUAUGUUCGCAAGGCUGAAACUCAAAGGAAUUGACGGGGGCUCACACAAGCGGUGGAGGAUGUGGCUUAAUUCGAGUCUACGCGAAGAACCUUAUCCUGGUCUUGACAUGCUUGGGAAUCCUGCCGAAAGGCAGGAGUGCACUUCGGUGAACCCUUGCACAGGUGCUGCAUGGCUGUCGUCAGCUCGUGUCGUGAGAUGUCGGGUUAAGUCCCUUAACGAGCGAAACCCUUGUCCCUAGUUGCCAGCGGGUCAUGCCGGGGACUCUAGGGAGACUGCCGGUGUUAAACCGGAGGAAGGUGGGGAUGACGUCAAGUCCUCAUGGCCUUUAUGGCCAGGGCUGCACACGUCCUACAAUGCGCCGUACAAUGGGAUGCGAAGUCGCGAGGCCAAGCAAAUCCCUAAAAGCGGCGCUCAGUUCGGAUUGGAGGCUGCAACUCGCCUCCAUGAAGCUGGAAUCGCUAGUAAUCGCGGGUCAGCAUACCGCGGUGAAUGUGUUCCUGAGCCUUGUACACACCGCCCGUCAAGCCACGAAAGUGGGGGGUACCCGUAGUCGCCGAGCUAACCCGCAAGGGAGGCAGGCGCCGAAGGUAAACUCCGCGAUUGGGACUAAGUCGUAACAAGGUA